CAUGUUGUUCAGACUACUCAAACAUCCAUCCCUAAUUCUCCAUCUCCACCGCACCAGAGCUCACCACAUACGGCGGUGGAGCAACAAUCAUCAAAAACCAAAAUUCCAUAUCACUCUGAAUUCCAUGCUCUAUUUGAAUCACCACCUAAUUUCAUCUAAAACAACCUAAAUCUCCCAAAUCGUGCAAAAUCCAUCAAGAACCCUAACCACUAAAAUCAAAAUUAAAUGAUUGAUUGGAAGAAUCAAAGUCCACGAGGUUAGGGCUUUGAUUCCUCGACCCCUAAGCUACAUAGUGGUAACAAGGAUGAAAGGAAUCGAGAAGGAAAGAAUUACCUUCAAAGCGAAGAUUUGCUCCGACGAGUUAUUACAGUGAGGUUGAAGCUUGCACUGAGGAAUCACUUAAAGUCAGGUGACUUGUGUGAAAGCUUGGUGGAAUUGCUUAUGGAUGACAUGUUGAACCAGUUUGGAUUUGCAUGAUGUUGCAUUGCAGUUAGGUGGAAAUAUGUUGGAUGACUUGUUGUUUGGACUCGAGCUGCAAGUUGAAAUGUUUUGGCAUUGCGAGUGGCUUACAAAAGGUUGCUUGGACACCUUUGGACAAGCUUAGCAAGUUGCAGGUUAGGUCAUAUUAAGUUGUGGGUGUAUCAGGUUUUUGUUGAUGAUGAUGAACUAAUGUUGUAGGGCACGUUUGUUGGUGUUAAUGGACUCAUGGCAGGGCAAGGCAAUGGUUUGUGGAUUAUAGGAUGGUUGCAGGUUUAUGCCAAUGUUUGUUCAAUGUUUGAUGCAAUGUUAUUAUGUAUGUGUAGAUGUUUGCAAUGUUUGCAAUGUUUGCAAUGUUUGUAGUGUGCUUGCAGGCCUGUGAUGCCAUGUGAUGUAUGUAUUGUUGCAGGAUAUUGGUACGCUCAUGCCAUGGUGUGCAAAAGGGCUAUAGGCUUGUGGAAUUGGUCAUGAUGGCAACACAAAGCAAGGCAUGGCAAGGCAUGACCAACCAAGUUUGAUGCAAAAUGUGAAGUUUCUCGUUCAUGAAGAAACAUGAUGAUGGAAGCUCAUGAAAUAAUGCAAGAAUGUAGAUGUAGUCAGCAUUAGGGUUUAGGAGAUGAAAAAAUGUGAUAGUUGACCAAAAGUUAACUUUUGUAAAAAAAUGCAUUUUUUUGUAUUUUCUUUUGUAUGAAUGAUGUAAAUGUUGUGUGAAUGAAUGAAUGGACAUGUAUUUGAAUAGGAUGAUCUAUAUAAUACAUGUAAAAAAUGCAUUUUUUUGUAUUUUCUUUUGUAUGAAUGAUGUAAAUGUUGUGUGAAUGAAUGAAUGGACAUGUAUUUGAAUAG
This is a long non-coding RNA of Lathyrus oleraceus (garden pea), 1320 nucleotides long. RefSeq lists it as uncharacterized. NCBI's taxonomy places the organism in Eukaryota, Viridiplantae, Streptophyta, Magnoliopsida, Fabales, Fabaceae. The record is from RefSeq and is a predicted model, not a curated record. The transcript is spliced from 3 exons.